AAAAAAAAAAACAAGAUGACCCACGCAGAAGGAACUGCAGCUGGAAGUCCACGACAAGUACCCAAACUGAACGAGAGGAUCCUUUCGUCUAUGUCAAGAGAUCAGUUGCUGCACAUCCUUGGCAUGAUCUUGAUAUUGGACCCGAUGCUCCAAAAGUUUUCAAUGUGUUGUCGAGAUAUCGAAAGGUAGUAAGGUCAAAUAUGAACUUGACAAGAAGUCCGGAAUGAUUCUGGUCGAUCGAGUUAUAUAUUCUUCAGUGGUAUAUCCUCACAACUAUGGUUUCACACCUCGCAC
Long non-coding RNA from Hibiscus syriacus, 294 nucleotides. RefSeq lists it as uncharacterized. NCBI's taxonomy places the organism in Eukaryota, Viridiplantae, Streptophyta, Magnoliopsida, Malvales, Malvaceae. The record is from RefSeq and is a predicted model, not a curated record. The transcript is spliced from 4 exons.